Molecule: long non-coding RNA, 1774 nt
Organism: Schistocerca piceifrons (Central American locust)
Lineage: Eukaryota; Metazoa; Arthropoda; Insecta; Orthoptera; Acrididae
Exons: 3
Source: RefSeq, a predicted model, not a curated record
UUGACUGCCAUCUGGCGGUCAUAAUCAUUCGGCAAUCGGCAUGAUUCGGAAGUUGCCUUCGAUCGAAGCAUAGCGUAUUGCGUACUAAGAAUCGAUGAACCGUUGGGACUUGGAAUCGUUACGAUUCGGUAACACGCAAUCGUUCUUACGAUGCUUUUGAACGACGAUUCGUCCAUAUCACGAUUCGAUUCUUACGAUUCUUUAUUUAGAGUCGUUCAAAUGAACGACUCAUUCACGAAUCGCCACAACUUUAGUCAGCAGGGGGUAACGAUAGAUCGGUACCUUGACAUUCAAAGGGUUAAGGGCGUUUUUUGUGUUAUAUUACAUGCAGUGUUGGAGACUUCACUGUUCAACAAGUCACAAAGACUUUAACUCAUUUGUGUGACUUUGUUGCAAAUUUGUUGGAGUGUUGUAGAACCUUCGUUCUUCUAUCCUGUUGUCUGUCCGUGGAGCAUAGUUGUGUAAUAGUGGCAGGGAGAAAUCAUCUUAAUGGUGCACUGCAACAGAAACCGCUUCACGAACACACAAACUCGGCCUGCUGUAACAAUAGUGCCAACUUGGCCUCCACAGCAGUAGCAAUGAGGCCUUUACAAAACUGGUGAUGAGUUUACAAAACUGGUAACGAGGUGGCGGCUUCCCAAGCCGGAAGCAGUGGCAACAAAGGCUGGAAAGCUGGCCAAAAUCAUGAUACAAUUUGUCACACAUCGAGCAGCAGCUCAAACAGUAAGCAGUGUUUCGGCAGCCACGCCUGCAGCUUCUGUGCCACAGUUCUUGCCACUGUAUCAUACCUUUGACGGAAACGCAUAAGACUGGACAGUGUAUGCUGUACGAUUUGGGGCCAACCUAGCAGCCCACUACAAAUCAGAUUCCUGGUUGAUGCAACCCAAGCGCCAUCCUUCACAGUGGGGUCACGCAAUGCUGUUUUCGGACCUCGAGCUGGUGGACAUCACUCCGAUGCUGCACCCGCCCACUAGUGGACGUCCAGCAGCACCUGCCAUGUCACCACUACUGGGUAAACCCCACGCCGAGGCCUCCCGAGGGGCCUCCAGUUAGACAGAUGCUGUCGCGGAUUGACAUCAUCAAGAAGAUGCCCUGCUGAAGGGUGCUGGGAUGCACUUUCUGCAUCGUUUUUCUGCCGGUGUUCCCUCGCAGUCUCAAGAGGGAUGUCAGGGUGUGACUUAGCAUCGGGUAUAGCAACUGUCGCUGCUCCAGCUCUGGUUCCAACAACCAUGCCUCCCCCUCACUAUCAAUAUGGUGCUCAGACGUACAUGACAAUGGUGCAGUGGUUUGUGGAGGGGGGAGGGGAGGGGGUGCUGUGUCUUCUGAACAAGACACAGCCAGGGAAAAAGCACCACAGGCACAAUGAUGGGAGCUGGUGCCAGUGCCAUAGACACUCACCACUUGCGCGAGUUUCACCAGCACCACAGGCAGUGUUGAGGCUGAAGAUAUCAAAUUUGCCUCAGCCAAUUGCCAGCUGAGUACAAUCCGCCAAUGACCAGACAACAACAGACAGAAGGCUACUCAGAAGACAGAAGAGCAGUUCUCACCCACUUGGUUAUAGAUCCUCGUCCAGAGCUGACUUAGACAGGGACUGUUCUUUAGUGAACACUUAGAAGUCAACAGACAGUUGUAAUUUGCAUUUUCUGUUACUGUGAAGCUUACAUACUAUUAUUUGCACUUAGCCAUUGAGGGCCUUUUUUGUGUUAUAUUACAUGUAGUGUGGAAGACUUCAUUAUUCAACAAAUCACAAAAACAAAUAAACCUUUUUAACUCA